UGGGCGUAAAGCGUCCGCAGGCGGUCUGUCAAGUCUGCUGUUAAAGCGUGGAGCUUAACUCCAUUUCGGCAGUGGAAACUGACAGACUAGAGUGUGGUAGGGGCAGAGGGAAUUCCCGGUGUAGCGGUGAAAUGCGUAGAUAUCGGGAAGAACACCAGUGGCGAAGGCGCUCUGCUGGGCCAUAACUGACGCUCAUGGACGAAAGCCAGGGGAGCGAAAGGGAUUAGAUACCCCUGUAGUCCUGGCCGUAAACGAUGAACACUAGGUGUCGGGGGAAUCGACCCCCUCGGUGUCGUAGCCAACGCGUUAAGUGUUCCGCCUGGGGAGUACGCACGCAAGUGUGAAACUCAAAGGAAUUGACGGGGGCCCGCACAAGCGGUGGAGUAUGUGGUUUAAUUCGAUGCAACGCGAAGAACCUUACCAGGGUUUGACAUCCUGCGAAUCUCUUGGAAACGAGAGAGUGCCUUCGGGAACGCAGUGACAGGUGGUGCAUGGCUGUCGUCAGCUCGUGUCGUGAGAUGUUGGGUUAAGUCCCGCAACGAGCGCAACCCACGUCGUUAGUUGCCAGCAUUAAGUUGGGCACUCUAGCGAGACCGCCGGUGAUAAACCGGAGGAAGGUGUGGAUGACGUCAAGUCAUCAUGCCCCUUACAUCCUGGGCUACACACGUACUACAAUGCUACGGACAAAGGGCAGCAAACUCGCGAGAGCUAGCAAAUCCCAUAAACCGUGGCUCAGUUCAGAUCGUAGGCUGCAACUCGCCUACGUGAAGGAGGAAUCGCUAGUAAUCGCAGGUCAGCAUACUGCGGUGAAUACGUUCCCGGGCCUUGUACACACCGCCCGUCACACCAUGGAAGUUGGCCACGCCCGAAGCCGUUACUCCAACCCUUGUGGAGGAGGACGUCGAAGGUGGGGCUGAUGACUGGGGUGAAGUCGUAACAAGGUAGCCGUA
RNAcentral lists this ribosomal RNA (950 nucleotides) under uncultured bacterium. Its description in RNAcentral is "bacterial SSU rRNA". It matches the Rfam family "Bacterial small subunit ribosomal RNA", at positions 555 to 1504 of the family's 1533-position model. The record is from RNAcentral.